Molecule: transfer RNA, 75 nt
Filed under: Bifidobacterium adolescentis
Lineage: Bacteria; Bacillati; Actinomycetota; Actinomycetes; Bifidobacteriales; Bifidobacteriaceae
Also listed under: 1 other name
Description: tRNA-Gly
Rfam family: tRNA
About the family: Transfer RNA (tRNA) molecules are approximately 80 nucleotides in length.
Source: RNAcentral
GCGCCUGCGGUGCGAUGGUGCGCAUACCGCCUUCCCAAGGCGGUGACGCGGGUUCGAUUCCCGUCAGGCGCUCGA